AGUGAACGCUGGCGGUAGGCCUAACACAUGCAAGUCGAACGGCAGCACAGUAAGAGCUUGCUCUUACGGGUGGCGGGUGGCGGACGGGUGAGGAAUACAUCGGAAUCUACUUUUUCGUGGGGGAUAACGUAGGGAAACUUACGCUAAUACCGCAUACGACCCACGGGUGAAAGCAGGGGAUCUUCGGACCUUGCGCGAUUGAAUGAGCCGAUGUCGGAUUAGCUAGUUGGCGGGGUAAAGGCCCACCAAGGCGACGAUCCGUAGCUGGUCUGAGAGGAUGAUCAGCCACACUGGAACUGAGACACGGUCCAGACUCCUACGGGAGGCAGCAGUGGGGAAUAUUGGACAAUGGGCGCAAGCCUGAUCCAGCCAUACCGCGUGGGUGAAGAAGGCCUUCGGGUUGUAAAGCCCUUUUGUUGGGAAAGAAAAGCAGCAGGUUAAUACCCCGCUGUUCUGACGGUACCCAAAGAAUAAGCACCGGCUAACUUCGUG
RNAcentral lists this ribosomal RNA (492 nucleotides) under uncultured bacterium. RNAcentral's name for it is "partial 16S ribosomal RNA". It matches the Rfam family "Bacterial small subunit ribosomal RNA", at positions 29 to 507 of the family's 1533-position model. The record is from RNAcentral.